Molecule: ribosomal RNA, 253 nt
Filed under: uncultured bacterium
Lineage: Bacteria
Description: partial 16S ribosomal RNA
Rfam family: Bacterial small subunit ribosomal RNA
Source: RNAcentral
UACGUAGGGAGCAAGCGUUGUCCGGAAUCAUUGGGCGUAAAGCGCGUGUAGGCGGCCCGAUAAGUCCGCUGUGAAAGUCCAGGGCUCAACCCUGGGAUGCCGGUGGAUACUGUCGGGCUCGAGUCCGGAAGAGGCGAGUGGAAUUCCUGGUGUAGCGGUGAAAUGCGCAGAUAUCAGGAGGAACACCAAUUGCGAAGGCAGCUCGCUGGGACGUGACUGACGCUGAGACGCGAAAGCGUGGGGAGCAAACAGG